Leuconostoc mesenteroides subsp. mesenteroides ATCC 8293 is the source of this 90-nucleotide non-coding RNA. NCBI's taxonomy places the organism in Bacteria, Bacillati, Bacillota, Bacilli, Lactobacillales, Lactobacillaceae. The record is from Rfam.
AUAUUUUAUCUGGGGUACCGUAAGGUUGAGAUAAUACCCAUUGAACCUGUCAGGUUAAUACCUGCGAAGGAAGAAUAAGUUAGAUUAAGA